UACGUAGGUGGCAAGCGUUGUCCGGAUUUAUUGGGUUUAAAGGGUGCGUAGGCGGUUCUCUAAGUCAGUUGUGAAAUACUUCAGCUUAACUGGAGAGGUGCAAUUGAUACUGGAGAACUUGAGUACUGAUGAGGUCGGCGGAAUGGACGGUGUAGCGGUGAAAUGCUUAGAUAUCGUCCAGAACACCGAUAGCGAAGGCAGCUUACUAAGGAGUAACUGACGCUGAGGCACGAAAGUGUGGGGAUCAAACAGG
Molecule: ribosomal RNA, 253 nt
Filed under: uncultured bacterium
Lineage: Bacteria
Description: partial 16S ribosomal RNA
Rfam family: Bacterial small subunit ribosomal RNA
Source: RNAcentral